GGACCACAACACUUCUGCCUCCAACGCAAAGGACAAGCCGGGGUGACCAAAUAGACCUUCACACUGUCCCUGAGAAAUCACACCCUUUAUGUUCCUUGUGUAGCUUCUUUCUCUAUGAAGGUUUUUGAUAGCCGCAAAGAACACGCGCCCACCCAAGGCAGAAGAGGAAUAAGAGCGGUUAUCUCUAGUUCCAGCCAGAACUGGGCUCCCAUUUACAGGCUUCCAAGAUUUUGCGUAAAUGAACAUUAUCAGAAAGCCUUGCACAGGAAGGGAAUUGUGUGCUCAAAAAGUUUAUCUUUGCCGAUUAUCAUUAAUCAUUGGUGUGUUUUCUGGGGAAUUCAAGCCCCGGCCAAGGUCCCGUUUCUUUAAUGUUUAUUUUGACAGUUUUUACAAGGCGGGUCAGCCUCAGAUCCCUUAGAACAUACUCCCGGAAGGCUAUCCCAGUGGGGCAGAACCAUGGCUCUCUGUGAGAGUGCUAUGUAUGCUCCUCAUUUUGGUGGAUCCGUGCUACCCAGCUUUCCCCUGCACCUCCCAUGGUCUUGUAGAAUCAGAGUAAAAGAGAGGGGAAAAAAAAAUCAGGAUUUUCAUGGUUUAAACUUGACCUCUUCACACAGAAGUUCAAAGAAGUAAAAAUUAACACAACGUUGCCAUGGCAACCACAGACUCUUGUCACUAUGUUUUUUGUUGUUGGGAUAGCCACUGUUAGUUUAGUACUCCCUCUAGGCCCCGCAGAUUAGCAAGUAUGUUAUACACUAAAGGUCUCUGUGGCAGGCUGAAGUCAGUGUACCCACUCUACAGAUUUGAAAAUGGAGGCAGGGUAUUUGGUAAUUUACCUGAAGUCACACUGGGACUCUGAAACCUGAUUCUUUGUCUGGAUACAGAAGUUAAGAAGUUAUAGUCUCCAAUUAAUUAUCUUGUCUGAAUGAUUUUUUUUUCUCUAUCAACUCUACUAUCAAUAAAGAUCUAAUAUACACUUUCCUUUGACAACUUAUGUCAUACUGAGGUAUCUAUUUGGGACUGAAUAAAGCUCAAUUAAGAGAAAUUUAAGGGUCUGGUGGGUCAUGCCUUUAAUUUCGGUACUCAGGAAUCAGAGGUAGGUGGAUCUCGGUGAGUUCAAGGCCAGCCUGGACUACCUAUAGUAAGUUUGAGGCCAGCUUGUCUAUAUAUAGUGAGCUUAGGUCAAAAAUCUCUACAAAGUGAGAACCUGUCAAGAUAGAGAGAGAAAAUAGGGUUUAAAGUAGGUCCUGGGCAAUUUUACUUCUUUAUUGUAAAAUUAUAUUUAUCUUUCAUCUUCAAACUAGAGGUCAAGGUUGACGAAAACAGCCUAAACCAGUGAAGCUGAUUCAGAACAAAACAAGUGGUGUACAUAAGACCUUGAAAGCCAAGGUAGCCAGAUGCUAUGCUAUUGCCUAAGAAGGCAUGCCAUGCGGCUUUGGUAUGCUGUCUCGUGUUUUGUUCUUUAAAUCUUAAGUUACUUUCCUGAUUAGAACAUCAUUACUUUCUCUCUCUCUCUCUCUUUCUCUCUCUCUUUUCUUUCUUUCUUUCUUUCUUUCUCUUUCUUUCUUUCUUUCUUUCUUUCUUUCUUUCUUUCUUUCUUUCUUUCUUUCUUUCUUUCUUUCUUGAGACAGGGUUUCUCUGAGUAGCUCAACCUGC
RNAcentral lists this long non-coding RNA (1653 nucleotides) under Mus musculus (house mouse). Its description in RNAcentral is "long non-coding RNA chr17:6424882-6426535". Lineage: Eukaryota; Metazoa; Chordata; Mammalia; Rodentia; Muridae. The record is from RNAcentral.